UGCAAGUCGAGGGGUAACAGAGAAAAGCUUGCUUUUUUGCUGACGACCGGCGCACGGGUGCGUAACGCGUAUGCAAUCUACCUUUUGCUAAGGGAUAGCCCAGAGAAAUUUGGAUUAAUACCUUAUAGUAUGUUGAUUUGGCAUCAAGACAACAUUAAAGAUUACGGCAAAAGAUGAGCAUGCGUUCUAUUAGCUAGUUGGUAUGGUAACGGCAUACCAAGGCAACGAUAGAUAGGGGUCCUGAGAGGGAGAUCCCCCACACUGGUACUGAGACACGGACCAGACUCCUACGGGAGGCAGCAGUGAGGAAUAUUGGACAAUGGAGGCAACUCUGAUCCAGCCAUGCCGCGUGCAGGAAGACUGCCCUAUGGGUUGUAAACUGCUUUUAUACAGGAAGAAACCCCUCUACGUGUAGAGGCUUGACGGUACUGUAAGAAUAAGGAUCGGCUAACUCCGUGCCAGCAGCCGCGGUAAUACGGAGGAUCCAAGCGUUAUCCGGAAUCACUGGGUUUAAAGGGUCCGUAGGUGGAUAAUUAAGUCAGAGGUGAAAUCCUGCAGCUUAACUGUAGAAUUGCCUUUGAUACUGGUUGUCUUGAGUUAUUAUGAAGUGGUUA
RNAcentral lists this ribosomal RNA (614 nucleotides) under uncultured Flavobacteriia bacterium. Its description in RNAcentral is "bacterial SSU rRNA". It matches the Rfam family "Bacterial small subunit ribosomal RNA", at positions 56 to 663 of the family's 1533-position model. The record is from RNAcentral. Lineage: Bacteria; Pseudomonadati; Bacteroidota; Flavobacteriia.